GACGAACGCUGGCGGCGUGCUUAACACAUGCAAGUCGAACGGAAAGGCCCUGCUUUUGUGGGGUGCUCGAGUGGCGAACGGGUGAGUAACACGUGAGUAACCUGCCCUUGACUUUGGGAUAACUUCAGGAAACUGGGGCUAAUACCGGAUAGGAGCUCCUGCUGCAUGGUGGGGGUUGGAAAGUUUCGGCGGUUGGGGAUGGACUCGCGGCUUAUCAGCUUGUUGGUGGGGUAGUGGCUUACCAAGGCUUUGACGGGUAGCCGGCCUGAGAGGGUGACCGGCCACAUUGGGACUGAGAUACGGCCCAGACUCCUACAGGAGGCAGCAGUGGGGAAUAUUGCACAAUGGGCGGAAGCCUGAUGCAGCAACGCCGCGUGCGGGAUGACGGCCUUCGGGCUGUAAACCGCUUUCGCCUGUGACGAAGCGUGAGUGACGGUAAUGGGUAAAGAAGCACCGGCUAACUACGUG
This 468-nucleotide ribosomal RNA is filed under the name uncultured bacterium. Its description in RNAcentral is "partial 16S ribosomal RNA". It matches the Rfam family "Bacterial small subunit ribosomal RNA", at positions 28 to 507 of the family's 1533-position model. The record is from RNAcentral.